This 434-nucleotide ribosomal RNA is filed under the name uncultured Lachnospiraceae bacterium. Its description in RNAcentral is "partial 16S ribosomal RNA". It matches the Rfam family "Bacterial small subunit ribosomal RNA", at positions 341 to 792 of the family's 1533-position model. Lineage: Bacteria; Bacillati; Bacillota; Clostridia; Lachnospirales; Lachnospiraceae. The record is from RNAcentral.
ACGGGAGGCAGCAGUGGGGAAUAUUGCACAAUGGGGGAAACCCUGAUGCAGCGACGCCGCGUGAGUGAAGAAGUAUUUCGGUACGUAAAGCUCUAUCAGCAGGGAAGAAAAUGACGGUACCUGACUAAGAAGCACCGGCUAAAUACGUGCCAGCAGCCGCGGUAAUACGUAUGGUGCAAGCGUUAUCCGGAUUUACUGGGUGUAAAGGGAGCGUAGACGGCGAGGCAAGUCUGAAGUGAAAUGCGGGGGCUCAACCCCUGAACUGCUUUGGAAACUGUUUUGCUAGAGUGCAGGAGAGGUAAGUGGAAUUCCUAGUGUAGCGGUGAAAUGCGUAGAUAUUAGGAGGAACACCGGCGGCGAAGGCGGCUUACUGGACUGUAACUGACGUUGAGGCUCGAAAGCGUGGGGAGCAAACAGGAUUAGAUACCCUGGUA